UAUUCAGAACACAGUCGAUAUCAUCCUCAC
RNAcentral lists this small RNA (30 nucleotides) under Bombyx mori (domestic silkworm). RNAcentral describes it as "piRNA piR-bmo-1885766". The record is from RNAcentral. Lineage: Eukaryota; Metazoa; Arthropoda; Insecta; Lepidoptera; Bombycidae.